RNAcentral lists this long non-coding RNA (10335 nucleotides) under Vitis vinifera (wine grape). Its description in RNAcentral is "long non-coding RNA (VVIN_LNC001944)". Lineage: Eukaryota; Viridiplantae; Streptophyta; Magnoliopsida; Vitales; Vitaceae. The record is from RNAcentral.
UCCAAUGUGGUCCAAUUGGAGGUCUGUAAGGUGGAGAGUUAGGAUUAGGGUUGUUGGGAAGAAAGAGGAGGAUCGAUAAAGUGGAAAAACCAAAAUGGCAUUGUUUCAAUGCCAAAUGCAUCAAAAUGAUAUUGUUUUGAUGGUGAAAAAAAUAAACUUAAUUAUAAAUUAUUUGGUUCAGGGGGAAUUAAUUGAUUCGGCUAGUUUAUCGAUUCAAUUGUCAAUUUGGACGAUUCGAGACUAGUCCAAACCUUAGACAAGUCAAAUUAUCGAACUGAAUUGGAGCAGUAACCAACCAAUAAUCAAAUCGGCCUGUUUAAUCUGAUUUUUAAAACUAUGAUUUAUUUUAAUAUUUUUUAAAUAUAACUUAGAGUGCAUUUUAUGGAGAUUAUUUUUAGUCUUUUAAAUCCUUAGAAAAAUAUAUUUCUUUUUAAAUGAGUUAAUAUGAAAUUGAGUUAAAUAUACAUAUCUAUCAUAAAUUUAUUUUUAUAUUAACUUUUUAUUUUUUAUAUUUAUCAUUUUGAAAAAUAAAAAUUUUUUAUUAAAAAAUUAAAUUUGUGAUUAAAUAAAAAAACUAAAAACUAUUGUUAAAUAAUACUAAUAUAUGUAUUUUAUAUAUAUAUAUAAUAUGUUUAAAUUAUUUCUAUAUAUUAAAUAAUAUAUGUGUAUAUAAACAUUUUUCAUUUAUAAAUUUUUAAAUAUUUUAAUUACAAAUAUUGUUAAAUGUAUCAAAAUUUUCAUAUUUUUUAAUAAUAAAUAUUAGAACACCAUAUAAUUUUUAUUUGAACAUUCAAAAAUAUAAUAUAUUUCAUUUCAUUUUUUUCAUUAUUUUAAAAACUAAAUGAAUGCUUUCUUUAAAAGAAAAAAGCUCAUGUACACGUGGAAACAUUGCGUUUGAGCUAAUAGAGAAUUGAGCGUGGGCAUUGAGACGCGUGCUUGAGUUCGCCGUGCCACUCUCCCACACACGUGCAAACGUGUCAUAUUCAUCUAACUAAAUAAUGACUACAACAAUUAUUUUAAUCAUAAUUCAAUUAAAUUUAAUGUCUAAUCUUUGUGAAAUAUGAGAGCUUGCGCUUGUUGAAGAGUUGGGCCACCAAAUUCGAUUAUUACAUCAGGGCCGUCCACUGUACGCCAAUAAUUCUAGAUUCUCGAAUCAUACCCUUAUUUUUAAUCAAAUAUAAUAUAUUAAUAUUUUUAAUUCUAUAAAAAUAUAUCUAAUACAUCAUAUAAUAGUUUUUUUAGAAGAUAAAACAAUCAAAUCUUCUCACUCAUCCUUCCUUAUGACUCAACCAAAAGUUUGACUUUUUGUAUGCUAGACUAGAGAUGGUAAUAAGAUGGGUUUUUUCGGUACCACAUCACCCAGCCUCUAAUGGGACAAGGUUCAAUUUUAAUAAAUGGAUUUGAGAUGAGUUUGAAAUUUUUUUUAAAAACCUGGGGGCGGGUUCAGGUAUUGCCCCGUCCGGCCUCGAUUAUAUAUAAAAUUAAUUUAAUUUUACUAUUUUUAAUAUAUAAAUAAUAAUAUAAUAUUUUUAAUAAAAUAAGUUAUAAAAAAUAUAAUAAUUUAAUUAUUUAUAAAAUAUAUUUAUUUUAAUGUAAUUAAAAAUUAAAAAAAAAAAUUAAAAAAAAUUAAAUUAAAUUAAAAAAAGAAGUUAAACGGGGCGAGGUGGAGUGGGUAUGAGAAUUUAUCAUACCCGCACCGUCCCGUCCUGCCCCAACCCUGUCCCGUUUAAUUUUUUAAAUGAGAUCGGGAUGAGAAUAUCCCAGUUUUACUCUGAUAUAGGUUGAGUUGAUAUUUUGUUGAUCAAAUUUGCUAUAGAUAUUUAAUUACUCUUGGUUUAUUUCAUAAUUCCCAAGCAACAGGGAGAAGGUUGUGGAUUAAGUUUAAUCUUUGCUUUUGGGUUGUACAUAUUUUUCCUUAGUUCUAUUGUUUGAUCUUCUUCUAAGCUUAGUCUGAUCUAUUUCCGGUUUAUUUAUGGGAAGGGUUUUGGGUGUUUUAUAUGGCAUGUAAUGAAGAAGGAUCAUUUGAAACUUUUAUCUGAAAUAGCAUGGAAGUAAUCAAAGGAUUUUGGGGAUUGCCUUCCCAUCUUUUCAUAUUUAUUUUAGGGGUAGAAUUGUUUUGAAUAAACAGGGCAGGGUCAAGGCGGAGUUGGGAUGGGGACGACCCGUUUCGAACCCGUCCCGUUGCUAUUCCUUUGCCAGUCUACCCAAUAAGUGAACAAAAUUUGAAAGAGAAAUCAAUUUCAAUUAUGAUUUUUUUUUAUUUUUGCCAAAAUAAUAUAAGCGUUGGAUGAGUAGAGAUGUGGGCACUAUACAUUGGAUUGGCUAUAAAUCCUAAAAAAUCUUCUAACCCCAUGGAGGCAUGCUUUAAAGAUAUUUUAUUAGAGUGGAAAAUGAUUAGACUUCCCUCUAUCACACAUAGCUUUUACUAAGUUCCGACAAUAUUGAUUGAUGAAUCGCCAUUCCAAUAUUAAUUAUUCAUUGCUAGUUGCCAAAAGAUUGAACGGUUUAAUUUGUUUUGUCUUAUAUAAGAAAAAGAAAAAGGCUUCUUUUAAGUUUACCCUUUUCUUUCAAUUGUAAUAACAGAUUGCCCUUGGAUGCCAACAAUUGCCAACAUGCACCACAUAUAUUGUUGUAUGGGUUUACCAAAUACUAGAUCAAAUGAAUUUUCAUCUAUUAUAUUUUUCGAAUAAGAAAAUUUAAGUCUUGUUUGGUUUUUCUUUUGAGAAUUCAGAAGAUUUUAUUUUAUUUUAAUAAAAGUUAUAUAUUUAUUUCAUUAGUUUUAUUCAAAAAGCUCGUACCUUAAAAAGGAUUUUGAUACGAGAGUUAUAAAGAUAUUGCUUCUUUGUAGAAUCUUUGUUUUGGUUUAUAUAGGAAGUUUUUUAAUAUUUAGGCUAUAUUUGAUUCUCAAAAAGUACGAAGGAAAGAAAAAAAAAAUGCUAAGAAAUAUGAUUUUCUCAUGUUUAAUUGUCCUAUAAAAAAUUUCAAAGAAAAUUAAGUAUAAUUAAAAAUAGUUAUAAAUUUAUGCAAUUUUAAAUUAUUUAAUCUGUAUAUUGAUGAGUUAAAAUAAAUAAAAUGAGUUUGAAAUAGCAAAUAAAAAUAAUUUAUCUACUUUAACCUUAUUUUCUAUUUUCCUUCACUUUUUAUUUUCUUCUACUUUUCCUCUCUAUUUUCUUUCCUUUGCAUGUUCCAUCAAAUUUUUCAAAAACCAAACAUAGCAUUAAUGUAAAUUUUAUAAUAUUAAGGUUAUGUUUGGUUUUGAAAAAUAUAGAAUAAAAUAAAAAGAAAAAGUAGAAAAUAAAUAAAUAAAUAGAUGUAGGCUAUGUUUGGUUCUGAAAAAUAUCAAGGAAAAAAAAACAUGUUAAAGGAAAAUGAUUUUCUCAUAUCUGAUUUUAAUGUGAAAAAUACCAAGUAAAAUUAAAAUUUAUAACUUGAACUCUAGCUUCGGAAUUCAUCGAUGAAGAAGAAGAAGAUGUUGUGGUGUACCACAAUUGGAUAUUUAUUUUGAAUUAUUUAUAUUUGGCUGCUUGGAAGAUUGGUAUUUGAAUGGUAAUAAUUGAAAAAGAAGAAAAAUAAGCAAUAUCUAAGAUGAGAUGACAAACUCCUAGUAUAUAUCUUAGGAUGUAAAUUAAGGUGUAGACACGGUUUUUACGAGGAAUCUUAAAGUACAUGGUAGAAGGAGAAUAAUAAGAUAGGUCAAGAACAUGAAAACACCUAGUGCUAUGAGUUCCAUUGUUUUUGUUACAAAUUUUGUCAACCCCUUGGGGUAUAAAUAUUGAGUUCCAACGUCAGAUCCCUCUCUAUGAUUCUGUUCACACCAAUAUUAUAAUCAACCAUGUUCCCUCCCUUGUAUAUUUAAAACUAGGUAAACCUCUCAAAACCAGCAGACUAUUAUUCCAUGAACCGCAAUGGAUCGGAGGGAUGCAUCUGCAGGCACCUUGCCCAAUGUUACCGACUUUGGUUUCCAUGAUUUCAUCAAUGAGCCUAACUUCGAGCAGUUGAUUGAGCUCAUCAGAGGAGAAAGCGCGGAUUCUCUCGUGAAGUUCUGCCCCAAUUAUGAUUGUGAGCACAUGAAUGGUUGUUUGGAUGAUAACCAGUUUGGCUCAUCCGUGGGAGAAUUGUUUGAGUUCGACCCUGCAACUGCAACGGUGUCGAAUCCUGAUUCGGUUAUCGACUCACUGCCGAGCAUUGAUGGGGAGAUGAAGGGAGGGGAAGAGAUUGAUGGGGAGGAUUCAUCCGGGAAUACUACCACUACACCCACAAAGGGGACCAAGGUUGAUAGGUCCAGAACUUUGAUUUCAGAGAGGAGGAGAAGAGUUCGAAUGAAGGAGAAGCUCUAUGCGUUACGUUCCUUGGUUCCUAACAUAACUAAGGUAUGUGGUGGCUAGCCCUCAGCCCUCUUUUUGAAUCAAAUUCUUCUGAAAUUGUAUUUGAUUAUGUGGGAAUGUUUAUAUGUAUGUAUGCAGAUGGACAAGGCCUCCAUUGUUGGAGAUGCUGUCCUGUAUGUGCAGCAGCUGCAGAUGCAGGCCAAGAAGCUAAAAGCUGAGAUUGGGGGCCUUGAAUCUUCGUUAGUGCUGGGAGCAGAGAGAUAUAAUGGCUUAGUGGAAAUCCCCAAGAAGAUUCAAGUUGCACGCAGCCACCAUCCCAUGUGUGGGAAGAUUUUUCAGGUUUGUAAGUUUGUUUGGUUGCUUUUAAAAGUAAGAAAAGUACUUCCAAAAUACUUAACAAAUUCAUCAAGUACAUGGGUGUGGAUUUGCAGAUGGAUGUGUUUCAAGUGGAGGAAAGAGGGUUCUAUGUGAGAUUGGCGUGCAACAGGGGAGAAAGGGUGGCGGUUUCGCUGUACAAGGCGCUUGAAUCCCUCACCGGCUUCAGCAUUCAGAGCUCUAACUUGGCCACAUUUUCAGAGACUUUUGUAUUGACAUUUACUUUGAAUGUAAGCUUCUCCUUCCACUUUCACUUCAUUGUCAUCAUUCAUCAUCAUCAUCAUCUUGAUCCUCUUCUCUUCUGGUACUUAGCAUUAAUCCAUCAAAUGUCACAAAAAUGCAGGUUAGAGAAUGUGAUGAAAGCAUGAACUUGCCAAAUUUGAAGCUAUGGUUAACUGGGGCUCUUCUGAACCAGGGAUUUGAGUUCAAAACACUUCCAUCCUCCUAAUUUACUUCUACAAAAUAAUUUCUGUAAUUCCACUCAAGUAUGUGAUCAUAACAAGGAGCAGCGAAUCCCAUACAUGGGUGCCAGUCAUUAGUCAGUACAGAAGUCCCAGGGUACACGAAUCCCAGUAUCAAUUUUCCCCCCGGUUUCGUGUAGCCGCAGAUGCAAUACAUUUUGGACAUGGUUGAUGACAUGUAUCAUCAAUUCAAAUCAAUGAAAGUCAGCUUGAUUAGUUAGUGUCAGAGCUGUGGUAUCAUAUUUUGAUCAUGAAGCUAACUUAACUAAGGGGAGUUGAUGCCUCCCUCACAAGAUGGGAAUUUACUACUUGAUCUUGUGGGUGAGAGUUGAGAAGUAUCAUAGGUUUGUUUUGUUCUGGGUUCCAUCUUUUUGUUCUCAAAAAUGGUUGUCAAGAGGAUGGCAAAAGAAGGCCCACAUGUUAAGGAACAUGCCAUUGUCCAGCCCAAUUCAAGCAUGAACUGUCUAAGCCCAAUUCUAUUACAUAAACAAUAAGUCAUUUGUUAAGGUGGUGUUUGGUAACUUAAGUUAACUUUAAGUUAUAUUAUACUUAAGUUCUUGACUAAUAUUUAACACUAUUCGUGUUUGUUUUUUUACUUAAUUCUAAAUAGAACCUUAAUACUUAAUAGUGUUAAAUAUUAGAUUGUUUGUUUUUGUAGUAUUUUAUUUCUAUUAAGUAUUAAAAAGUAAAAAAAAAUCAAUAUGUUAUUUUUUCUAUUUAGAAAAAGCUAGAUAUUUUAAUUUUUUUUACUUAGUAAAAAGUUUAUAAUAGAUCAUAAAAAGGUAAAAAAAUAAACAAUCUAAAUUCUGAAAAUAAAUUACUUUCAGCAAAAAGCCAAAAAAACAAACACCACCUUAAACUAAUUCUUAUUUUAAGUAUUAAGAUUAUUUAUUUGAUAAAAUUUACGAGUAACAAUGGAGGUCAUAAAGUAACAAAAAAUGAUCGUGGAGGUAAUUAAGACAAAUAUAGAUAAAAAAAGUAAAAUAAAUAUAUAAACUUAUAAAUAAAUUAAUUAUUUUUACUUAUUAUUUAAAUUAAUUUUUUAUUUUAAGUCAUAUUAUUAAGUUGUUUUAUCAAAUAUAUUUAAUUCAUUUAAUAAUUUAAAUUCAGUUAUUAAAUCAUUUUUAAUUAUUAAGUUGAUUGAUCAAAUACCCACUAAAUUAUAUAUAAAAAAUUGAUAAUUAAAACCUUCGAAUAGACGGGUGUAUUUUUGGAUGGAAGUGAAAAUAAAUUGAAAAAAACAAAAAUUGAUGAAACCGAUUUAAUCCAACCAGAACUAAUUUAAAUCAAUUCGGCAUUUGAUUUGAGAAUGUUAAAAACCGAUUGUAUUGGUUAAUGCUGUGCCCUUAUCCUCGCGGGGUUGGAUAAAAAGUGACCGAGUCAGAGUGCACGUGAAACGGCCCCAAAGUAGGUGAGCACUUUUGGGCGAUGGGCAAGAGGGAAGUCCGCUGUUCCAACUUCCUAACUCCCAACUGCCAUUCAAACUUUGACUUAUCGAUUGCAGUCGCUGAAGAUCCAAUACAUGACCAGUCCAUUCCAUGUCUCCAAUCAUUUAGAUAUUUCUCCACUUGAAGGGAGCAUAUAUACCACUGUGCAAUUCGGAAUGGGACAGGAUCACCCAAAAACCAAGAAAUCAAAGGGCUGGACCCCUGAAUUAGUGAUGCCAACGCAUGUGGUCAUGUGGAAAUAAAAAGAAAGGGGUGGAGGUCAUUUUCCAAGCGCCUGUCUCUUCCUACUUGCACAACCCCAUAGUGCCUUUUGCCUGCCACUCCACAUGCCCACCACCCCAUCUUCCAUCCUCUUCUUCCCCCCCACCAUUAACACCUGCAAAUUAUAUACUUACCCAAGCCAAAGGGCAGAUGCAACCAUUAACUCCUCCAAAUAUUCUUGAAAAUGAAGUUUGACAUUCAAACCAUUACUUUCAGUAUUUGAGAAAAAGUGAUUUCUGAAAAUACUUACUUCAAUUUUUUAAUUCUUAGAAAGUAAUUGUUAAAAUUUUACAUUUAUUAAAAUACCUCUAAUAACAAAAAAUAAAAAACACAUUGGGAAAUGAUUUUAAGAGUAGAGUUUUUUUUUUCAAUAAAAAAUAUAAGAACAUAAUUAAAUAUUAUUUUAUAUUUUCUUUUUUUUUUUAAAUAGAAAAUAUAAUAUUUUCAUAAAACAUCUUUUAAUGUUUUUACUUACUUUUUGAGAUUAUUUAAAAAAAAUAAUUAUACCAAUAUAUAAAAUGAUUAAAAAAAAUAAUGAUUAUAAAAAUUAUUUUUAAAAAUAUUUUAAAUUAUUAAAUAUAUUUUUGUUUUAUAAAAUAUUAUAAAAUAGACCUAAAAAACGAUUUUUAAAAAUUAUUUUUAAAAAUGAUUAUCAAACAAAGAUGUAAUAUUUUGAUAUAAACAAAAAAAAAUGUAUUAAUGAUAUGUUAUAUGAUAAAAAGGAAAUUUAAAGAAUCAUUUCAUUGUGUAGAUUUCUUUGGAUUUUUAAAAGUCCAUUCCGUACCUAAUUUUUAUUAAAAAAAAAAAAAGUCUUAGAUAUUAAGAAAAGCUUUUAACUCUAUCCAAAUGGCUCGGGAAUCCUCCAAGUCACUCCCAAAAGCAAUUAAUAAAGCACGUGUGUUUAUUGUGAAAGAGAAGGAGUAGCUGCACCAGAAUUUUCGGCCGAAUAUGCCCGUGAAGAAAACUUGGAAAAUAGUACAGCCCAGCAUGGGUGGCCCACCACUGCCCACACCGCUCGCAGCUUUUUCCGCUUCAUCAUUACUAACUCGUGGAUGUAGCAAUUUAGACGGUGGGGUAAUUAAUGUAGGUGUUUAUUUGUUAGGUUUUUUUUAAUAAAUAAUUUAUUUUUAGAAUUUGGGAAAAUGGUUUUUCUACUUUUUUUUAUUUUUUAUUUUUUUAUUAUAAACUUUUUAUUGAAUAAAAAAAAGAUAAAAUAUUUAAUUUUUUUAAAAUAAAAAAACAUAUUAAUUUUUUUUAAAAUUUUUUAAUACUUAAUAAAAAUAAAAUACUAUAAAAACAAACAAUAUAAUAUUUAACACUAUUAAACAUUAAGAUUCUAUUCAAAAUUAAGUAAAAAAAUAAACAUCUAUUUAGAAAAAAUUACAAAGAUGGUGUUUAUUUUUUUGACUUUUUACCUAAAGCAAAUUAUUUUCAGAAUUUAUAUUAUUUGUUUUUCUACUUUUUCAUAACUUAUUAUAAUUUUUCAUUAAAUAAAAAAAGUCAAAUGUGGUAUUUGUUUUUUUACUUAAUUCUAAAUAGAACCUUAAUGCUUAAUAAUGUUAAAUAUUAGGUUGUUUGUUUUUAUAGUAUUUUAUUUUUAUUAAGUAUUAAAAAGUAAAAAAAAUCAAUAUGUUAUUUUUUCUAUUUAGAAAAAGCUACAUAUUUUGGCUUUUUCUAUUUAGUAAAAAGUUUAUAAUAAGUCAUGAAAAAGUAGAAAAAUAAACAAUCUAAAUUCUAAAACUAAAUUAUUUUCAGCAAAAAACCAAAAAAAUAAAUACCACCAAAAUAUGUAACUUCUUCUAAAUAGAAAAAAUAAUAUAUUGAUUUUUUUUUACUUUUUAAUACUUAAUAGAAAUAAAAAAAUUACAAAAAUAAAUAACAUAAUAUUUAACACUAUUAAAAAUUAAGGUUAUAUUUAAAAUUAAGUAAAAAAAACAAAUAUUAUCAUAACUUUUCUAUUUAGUAAAAAAUUUAUAAUAAAUUAUGAAAAAAUAAAUUCAUUUCAAUGAAAAACCCAAAAAAACAACACCACCUAAACUUUGCUCUUAUCAAGAAAUGCAAAAUUAUGCAUUAAUGCCAGUUUUUUUAAAUAUAUAUUAGAAUUUUUAAAUUAAAAAUAAUAAAAGGUAAAUGGCUUUUCUUUUUCUUUUUUAUGAGUAUUUUUGGAAAUUGGGUGGUGCUCCAAAAAUGACAAACAUGUCCCAUCCACUACCCAUUGUGGGCCUAUUCUUGGGCUUGGUGUGACAUGCGCGUGAUGCCAACACCUCCCAUUUACUACCAGUCACUACCCUUUCGCCAAACUCAAAAUGUAUAAUGCACGACGAGAGAGCCCAUUACUCAAAAUGCAAAAAACUACACGUAACUUGCACAUGAAUCCAAUAAAACGCCAAUUACAUGCAUCAUCCAUUUGAUCGCAAUCAGAUAAAAUGGACGGCCCUGAUGACAAUAAUGCUGAAAUCCACGACAACAUUGAAAACAAGAAAACAAGAAAUCAAAAAACUCGAACCAGAAUAAAAUAGAUACAAUGAAAAGCCGUUGGCCGGAGCGGCCAUACGAAUCUACGAUGUUAUUGAACUAGAACUCGGAGCCAGGCAAUGGCUCAUGGGUGUGGUGGAUGAAGACGGUUUCAUAGACGAGGCCUGCAAUCCCACCUCCAAUGAGAGGCCCUGCCCAGUACACCCAGUGGUUGGUCCAGUCCCAGCUCACCAGAGCAGGCCCAAACGACAUAGCCGGAUUCAUGGAUGCUCCGUCGAAUGCCCCACCCGCCAGAAUGUUGGCUGCAACAAUCAAACCAAUGGCAAGGGGUGCGAUUAUCCCCACAUUGCCCUUCCUCGGGUCAAUGGCAGUCGCGUACACCGUGUAAACCAGCCCAAAAGUCAUCACGAUCUCAAGAACAAACGCAUUCCACACUGUUACUCCAGAAGAUAUCGCAAAUGCGGAUGUUGUCUGCACCAUUUUAUUAUAAUCAUCACCUCACUAAUUCUAUAACUUAUAAACUAUGUAACUGUAAUAACUAACUCACCAUGCCAUGAGUGCAGAACUUUAGGAGCAAGCAGGCCACCGCGGAACCAAGGAGCUGAGCUAUCCAGUAAAGGAUUCCACGUAGGAGAGUGAUGUUUCCACCGACGAAGGCUCCAAAUGUGACAGCGGGGUUGAUGUGACCGCCGGAGAUGUUGCAUGCCCCCGACACUGCCACAAACAGUCCAAGGCCAUGUCCCAAUGCUUCGGCAAUGAGGCCGGCCGGUGUGGUGGAACCAUCAUCGGUGAGCUUGCUGAAGGCCAUGCCGGAGCCUUCUCCGGCGAACACAAAAAUUAGGGUGCCGAAAAACUCCGCCAACGCCGCCUUGAGCGCAUCGGGUUGAUAGGUCUCCUGCGGCUGGCCGAUGGCAAUCCUAAGAAACGGCAUUGUGGAAAACUCGAUGAUAAAAGCUGAAGAGAUAGGAUGAAAAAAAAUGGAGAGCCUCA